Long non-coding RNA from Balaenoptera ricei (Rice's whale), 407 nucleotides. RefSeq lists it as uncharacterized. The transcript is spliced from 3 exons. The record is from RefSeq and is a predicted model, not a curated record. NCBI's taxonomy places the organism in Eukaryota, Metazoa, Chordata, Mammalia, Artiodactyla, Balaenopteridae.
GAGCUGAGUGUAUAGCAGGUGUUGGGGAAGGGACUCCCAAGGUCUGGACUUGUGCUAUCCCAUCUGGCAGCCACCAGCCACACGUGGCCACUGAACCUGAGAAAUGUAACCGAACUGAACUGGGACAUGCCGUCCAGAUAUUCGGGGGAAGGAGCAUUAGGGGUAAAAGAACGGGAGAGACAUUGUUCUUCCUUUCUGCCGAAAUCAGAAGAGAAACAGACCAAACUGCGGCAAUCUGGAAGAAAGACGGGAGAUUACAGAAGGGUCUUCUCGACAGGGAGGACUGAACAGUGUGAAAGACCUGCUCACCUCCUUCCUGGAAAGCUUUCAGGAUAGGUCAAGACUUUGCAUAUCUCAAGGAAAGCUCUGGAUGGAGACUGGGACCACAGAAAGGAGCCCCCUGAGGU